RNAcentral lists this ribosomal RNA (207 nucleotides) under uncultured bacterium. RNAcentral describes it as "partial 16S ribosomal RNA". It matches the Rfam family "Bacterial small subunit ribosomal RNA", at positions 568 to 774 of the family's 1533-position model. The record is from RNAcentral.
UGUGUAGGCGGUUCUUUAAGUUUGGUGUGAAAUCUCCCGGCUCAACCGGGAGGGUGCGCCGAAUACUGAGGGACUCGAGUGCGGGAGAGGAAAGUGGAAUUCCUGGUGUAGCGGUGAAAUGCGUAGAUAUCAGGAGGAACACCGGUGGUGUAGACGGCUUUCUGGACCGUAACUGACGCCGAGACACGAAAGCGUGGGUAGCAAACA